GCCCUUCGAGGGCUCUCUGGUGAUUCAUAAUAACUUCUCGAAUCGCAUGGCCUUGCGCCGGCGAUGGUUCAUUCAAAUUUCUGCCCUAUCAACUUUCGAUGGUAGGAUAGUGGCCUACCAUGGUGGCAACGGGUAACGGGGAAUUAGGGUUCGAUUCCGGAGAGGGAGCCUGAGAAACGGCUACCACAUCCAAGGAAGGCAGCAGGCGCGCAAAUUACCCAAUCCCGAUACGGGGAGGUAGUGACAAUAAAUACUGAUACAGGGCUCUUUUGGGUCUUGUAAUUGGAAUGAGUACAAUCUAAAUCCCUUAACGAGGAACAAUUGGAGGGCAAGUCUGGUGCCAGCAGCCGCGGUAAUUCCAGCUCCAAUAGCGUAUAUUAAAGUUGUUGCAGUUAAAAAGCUCGUAGUUGAACCUUGGGCCUGGCUGGCCGGUCCGCCUCACGGCGUGCACUGGUCCGGCUGGGUCUUUCCUUCUGGGGAGCCCCAUGGCCUUCACUGGCUGUGGGGGGAACCAGGACUUUUACUGUGAAAAAAUUAGAGUGUUCAAAGCAGGCCUUUGCUCGGAUACAUUAGCAUGGAAUAAUAGAAUAGGACGUGUGGUUCUAUUUUGUUGGUUUCUAGGACCGCCGUAAUGAUUAAUAGGGAUGGUCGGGGGCGUCAGUAUUCGGCUGUCAGAGGUGAAAUUCUUGGAUUUGCCGAAGACUAACUACUGCGAAAGCAUUCGCCAAGGAU
RNAcentral lists this ribosomal RNA (732 nucleotides) under Gymnascella sp. MP8-2-2. RNAcentral's name for it is "SSU rRNA". It matches the Rfam family "Eukaryotic small subunit ribosomal RNA", at positions 227 to 965 of the family's 1831-position model. The record is from RNAcentral. Lineage: Eukaryota; Fungi; Ascomycota; Eurotiomycetes; Onygenales; Gymnoascaceae.